CAUCAACAUUAACAUGCUUUCCAGGAUAUGAUUCCUUUGGUGUAGCGUUGGUUCUCUUCACUAACAAACAGCAUGCCAAUACGCUGUGAUCAUGUCCGUUUACAAUGGGCUGCUGCUGGAACAGAGCCCGUAGAGAAACCAUUGUUCCCAACAACCCAAGGAAAUGGGCUGAAUCCUUUUUCUAUCGCUGAAGAAUCUUUUGAUGCUGUAAAAAACAUGCAGGACAUUUUUUUCAAAGCCAUUCUCCUUAACACUCUCCUCCGCUGAACAACAAUAGUUUUAUCGGCUGAUGUGGGGUUUGUGAGGGUGAGUUGCAGUUCUACAGUAGCCUAAGCAUGGUCUUUGGUUGGGUUGGGAUGUAAUAAUAAGGAGGUGUGUUAGUGAGGGGAAUCAGUGAUUGUUCUGAUGGAUGGAUGGAUGGAUGGAUGGAUGGAUGGAUGGAUGGAUGGAUGGAUGGAUGGAUGGAUGGCCGAACGGACAGGCUUGUUUUUCAGCUGAGGUGUUUGUUACAGUAAACAUAAUGAUGGUAGUAAAGGAUGGUUGUGGUGAGGUGUUUCAGUAGGCAGCUGAAGGCCAUUCUGGCUGGUCUAAUCCCCAGACCCAGACCAGGUGGCUCCUGCCCCAAGCUCCUCCACCUCAGCUGCCCCAAAUCUGCCACCACAGCCUGGGCACAGCUCGCCUAGCUCUGGGGAUCAGGAUGCAGGAUCAAAAAUGGUCAGAGCACUGGAGCAUGCUCCAUAAAGACCUAGAUGUUUGGCAAGCAAAUUGGACAUAAACACUGCUUUGAAAAUAAGUAAUGGAAUGUAUUAAUAAUAAACCAAGUAUUAUUUAUGGUCACAUUUUGCAUUACAAUUUUGUUAUUAGCGUGUAAUUACCCCUAUAAGUACAGUGUAAUAAAUCCAGUAUUGUGUUACAUGUACCCAUUGAAAGGAUAGGGUAAGAGUUAGUCUAACAGAUGUAAGUGCAUUGUAUUACCAUUCUAGAGUUUCAGCUCCACAAUGUAUUACCCUAACCCUACAUUGAUAAUACAUUGCACUUGUCAGCCUGUCAGAAACCCUAACCCUAACUCUAACCCAUAAAACAAUCCGUUAAUCUACAACCCUGGUGAAUGUUACAUGUUUGGCAAGAACGAUGAUUGAUGUCACUGUUGUGUCUAUAAGCAGGCUUUAUUCUCAUCCUAUAGUUCAAGCCUGUGGUUUCUACAUGUCUAUAUGGGAGCCAGUUAGUGAGUGGUUUGUGUCUGGAUGACCUAACAGCUAGAAGGAGGCAGGAGACUGUGGAGAAGAGAGGAAAGGAGGGAGAGUCAAAGCACCACUUUUCAUAUAAUUUCUGUCCUACAGCAAGGAGAAAAAGUUGAAGCCUUCAUAAACAUAGCCUGUAGCCCCCUGACUGAACAAUGAACAUCAGCGUCAUAUUGUAACCUGUCAUCCACACUAGAAGGGGCGAGCACUGGAAACACCAGCGUGAUUGACGGCUGUUGCGUCAGCAUCGCCCUAGAAACCCACGGCAACAGUGGAGUGAGGGGAAUAACAAGCGAUCUCCGACAGAGGAUAAAGCAAUAAGGAACGAACAGGAGAGAGGGAGCGAGAGAGGGUGGAAGGGAAAGAGAUAGAGAGAGAUGAGGUGAACGUUGCGUUUAUCACAGUGAUGUCCUCUUUGUUCAAAAUGAAACACCGUACCAUGGUGAUGGCUGUUGGCCGUG
Molecule: long non-coding RNA, 1702 nt
Filed under: Salmo salar (Atlantic salmon)
Lineage: Eukaryota; Metazoa; Chordata; Actinopteri; Salmoniformes; Salmonidae
Description: lncRNA (ENSSSAG00000098761.1)
Source: RNAcentral